AGGAUGUAUAGGUAAAGCUAAAUGUAUCUUUUAGUAGUAAUACAUAUUCGAUUUAUUCGUAUAAAGUUCUAGAUAGAAUUAUGAUAAUGACAUUGUCUAUCUAUAAGUCUUGGCCAAAUUACGUGCCAGCAGUCGCGGUAAGACGUAAAAGACUAGUGUUAUUCAUCUUUAAUAGGUUUAAAGCGUACCUAGACGGUAAAUCAAGCCUUAGGGGACUAAUUUAACUAGAGUUAGAUGUAAGGGUGCAUAAACGUACUGUUGUGUGUAGAGAUGAAAUUCUUUUAUACCAGAUUAUUGGCACGGGUUAAGGCGAAAGCAUCACCUUAUGUAAUAACUGACGUUGAGAGACGAAGGCUUUGUGUCGCGAACAGGAUUAGAUACCCUAAUAGUCUAAGCAGAAAAUGAUGAGUGUCAUAGGCUAAAUAUUAUUUGGUCUAUAAAUGAAAGUGUAAGCAUUCCACCUCAAGAGUAAUUUGGCAACAUUGGAAUUGAAAUCAUUAGACCGUUUCUGAAACCAGUAGUGAAGUAUGUUGUUUAAUUAGAUAAUCCACAAAGAACCUUACCACAAUUUGAAUAUUUUACAAGUGUUGCACGGCUGUCUUCAGUUAAUGUCGUGAGAUUAUGGUUAGUUCCAUUAAAUUAACGUAAACCCUUACUUUAUUUUAUAAAAUAUAAAGUUGUUCGCCGCUAGAUUGGUUAGAUAAAAGGGACUAAGACAAGUCAUCAUGGCCUUAAUAUUGUGGGCUAUAGACGUGCCACAUAUGCCUAACAAAGGGAUGCUAAAUUGCAAAAUUAAGCUAAUCCCCUAAAUACGGAUAUAUAUAUGUCGUGGAUGA
Molecule: ribosomal RNA, 836 nt
Filed under: Scytinium lichenoides
Lineage: Eukaryota; Fungi; Ascomycota; Lecanoromycetes; Peltigerales; Collemataceae
Description: SSU rRNA
Rfam family: Bacterial small subunit ribosomal RNA
Source: RNAcentral